Molecule: microRNA precursor, 58 nt
Filed under: Blattella germanica (German cockroach)
Lineage: Eukaryota; Metazoa; Arthropoda; Insecta; Blattodea; Blattellidae
Description: Bge-Novel-2-P4_pre stem-loop
Source: RNAcentral
ACUCGAACACCGGUUCCGAAACAAUAAAUUGAGUUUGUUCGGACUGGUGUUAGAGACG